This 396-nucleotide unclassified non-coding RNA is filed under the name fungal sp. RNAcentral describes it as "partial internal transcribed spacer region". The stretch from base 1 to 46 matches the Rfam family "Eukaryotic small subunit ribosomal RNA", at positions 1786 to 1831 of the family's 1831-position model. RNAcentral also lists the same sequence under 1 other name. The record is from RNAcentral. Lineage: Eukaryota; Fungi.
AAGUCGUAACAAGGUUUCCGUAGGUGAACCUGCGGAAGGAUCAUUAACACGUAUCCAACGUUAAACCCCCCGUGAACCUUUAUUGUGCUCGUCUGCCCUGUUGGAAAGCGGCAAUCCCUGGUAAAUCAUCGCCGAACAGUUUUGAUUCAGGGACUUCUGUGGAGCGCGGAAAACGAGGCGAGGCAAGUGGUCUGGCAUCCCUCUGCUUGUUAGUGUCUGACAGUGUCACUAGCUCUGUAAGGAUGGCGCAGUAACGAUCGCUAGAGGCCGACACGGCCGGCGACCGGACCGCCGGGCUAUACGCUCCUUUAUCACCUUUGCAUGAAAACGGGCCUGCGCUUAAUUGUGCGGCCACCAAAAACCGAACAACUGUUAACAAUGGAUAUCUUGGUUCUC